UGGCUCAGAACGAACGCUGGCGGCAGGCCUAACACAUGCAAGUCGGACGAGAAGGUACCUUCGGGUACUGGAGAGUGGCGCACGGGUGAGUAACGCGUGGGGACCUACCUUUUAGUGGGGGAUAACGGUUGGAAACGACCGCUAAUACCGCAUACGCCCUUCGGGGGAAAGAUUUAUCGCUAAGAGAUGGACCCGCGUUGGAUUAGAUAGUUGGUGAGGUAACGGCUCACCAAGUCGGCGAUCCAUAGCUGGUUUGAGAGGAUGAUCAGCCACACUGGGACUGAGACACGGCCCAGACUCCUACGGGAGGCAGCAGUGGGGAAUAUUGGACAAUGGGGGCAACCCUGAUCCAGCCAUGCCGCGUGAGUGAAGAAGGCCUUCGGGUUGUAAAGCUCUUUCAGAUGCGAAGAUGAUGACGGUAACAUCAGAAGAAGCCCCGGCUA
RNAcentral lists this ribosomal RNA (443 nucleotides) under alpha proteobacterium O-001. RNAcentral's name for it is "bacterial SSU rRNA". It matches the Rfam family "Bacterial small subunit ribosomal RNA", at positions 20 to 499 of the family's 1533-position model. Lineage: Bacteria; Pseudomonadati; Pseudomonadota; Alphaproteobacteria. The record is from RNAcentral.